This 87-nucleotide transfer RNA is filed under the name Deltaproteobacteria bacterium. RNAcentral describes it as "tRNA-Leu". It matches the Rfam family "tRNA". From Rfam's summary of the family: Transfer RNA (tRNA) molecules are approximately 80 nucleotides in length. Their secondary structure includes four short double-helical elements and three loops (D, anti-codon, and T loops). Further hydrogen bonds mediate the characteristic L-shaped molecular structure. tRNAs have two regions of fundamental functional importance: the anti-codon, which is responsible for specific mRNA codon recognition, and the 3' end, to which the tRNAs corresponding amino acid is attached (by aminoacyl-tRNA synthetases). tRNAs cope with the degeneracy of the genetic code in two manners: having more than one tRNA (with a specific anti-codon) for a particular amino acid; and 'wobble' base-pairing, i.e. permitting non-standard base-pairing at the 3rd anti-codon position. The record is from RNAcentral. Lineage: Bacteria; Pseudomonadati; Myxococcota; Myxococcia.
GCCAAGGUGGCGGAACUGGUAGACGCGCACGGUUCAGGUCCGUGUGAGCUUUUGCUCUUAGGAGUUCGACUCUCCUUCUUGGUACCA